UGAGGAACAUGACCUUCGGCGGGGGAUAGCCGGCCCAACGGCCGGGUAAUACCGCGUACGACCUUCCGGGGACAUCCCUGGAUGGUGAAAGCAGCAAUGCGCCGAUGGAGUGCCUCGCGGCCUAUCAGCUAGUUGGUGAGGUAACGGCUCACCAAGGCGACGACGGGUAGCUGGUCUGAGAGGAUGGCCAGCCACAUUGGGACUGAGACACGGCCCAGACUCCUACGGGAGCA
This 233-nucleotide ribosomal RNA is filed under the name uncultured bacterium. RNAcentral describes it as "partial 16S ribosomal RNA". It matches the Rfam family "Bacterial small subunit ribosomal RNA", at positions 118 to 347 of the family's 1533-position model. The record is from RNAcentral.